Zophobas morio is the source of this 775-nucleotide long non-coding RNA. RefSeq lists it as uncharacterized. The record is from RefSeq and is a predicted model, not a curated record. The transcript has 3 exons. NCBI's taxonomy places the organism in Eukaryota, Metazoa, Arthropoda, Insecta, Coleoptera, Tenebrionidae.
UCUCCCACUCAAAACUGGCUCCAAUUCUCGAUCACGGGAAUAACAAGAUCAGCGACAAAACAAAAAAAAGCUGCAAGGAGAGCAAAGUCUGAGAAGAUGUUCGAACUCAGUCAACCCCAAGGGUUCCACAUGUCACAUGCACUUGGGAUGCCAGGGAAAAGCUAAUCAAAAGAUUUACCUGCGGAUCGACUGCAGCUUCUCCGAUUUUAGCGGGAUGGUCUAGUGCUCUUAAUCAACAAAAAAUCCGACGAAGUCGUAGUGCUCGAACGCACUAUUUCUUUUACAGCUCACAAAUGCGCUCCCAGCGAUAGCACCUUUUAGGGGACCCAACAGAUCCGACGAAUGCGAUUCCAAACGUAACACCAAAUAAAAGGUUGCUAAAACGAACUGCAAAAGAGGAAAGCACUAACCCCCAACACCAUUCAACACGGAGUACCAAAGCAAAAUGGAUUCCCUUCCACCUGCGAUGACGUGGCAAGGUAACGAAGCGAGAGUUCACGGAAGUUUGGCCCUCUAGUGGCAAACUUACGAAACGUCGAAUUCCGACGAAAAUCCCUAAUCGAUGUAACUAAUGAGUGGAUGCGAUGGUUAUUAACAAAAGAAAAAAAAAACAAACAAGGCUAUCAAGAUUCCAGAAAUGACGAAGACUCUAGGGGACGCUCCACGGCGUUUGUUCCCACCUAGAGUGAAGCUCUGGGAUGGCGCGAUCCAUCCAGUUCCUUAUAGCAAGAACCAAGCUGAAACGAUCCAGAAGACCGAUCUACAAACAGCGAGG